UAGCAUACAAAUUCCGCUUUUACACUAGAAUACCCCCUUAAAAACUCGGGCAGAGCUUGAUCUUCGAAAUAUUUACAGACAGCUGCUGAAGACACGUACGUCUGCUAACGUCUUUGAUUACGUGACUCGACGAAGAGAAAUACCGAAUGAGCGUUAUUUCGAGACGACAUGCAGUCGAGAGAUGAGCGUGUUGACAUUCCUCGGAAAUAAACAAAAAGUAUCGUAGCUUCAAUGAAGUGGAUCAGCGAUAACGAAGUCCAGACAUGAAAGCGAUUUAUUUGCCACACGAGGGUGACGAGGGACGUCAGAGGCCGGGGGAAUAUCUGUCUGUCUUUAUUCCACUCGCAGUCUUCACAAAACAAUAUGAUAAAUUAAUAACGCUUUAAAUAAGUUAAGACUAUAAA
Molecule: long non-coding RNA, 404 nt
Organism: Ooceraea biroi (clonal raider ant)
Lineage: Eukaryota; Metazoa; Arthropoda; Insecta; Hymenoptera; Formicidae
Source: RefSeq, a predicted model, not a curated record